RNAcentral lists this transfer RNA (74 nucleotides) under Firmicutes bacterium ADurb.Bin506. Its description in RNAcentral is "tRNA-Gln". It matches the Rfam family "tRNA". Rfam says of the family: Transfer RNA (tRNA) molecules are approximately 80 nucleotides in length. Lineage: Bacteria; Bacillati; Bacillota. RNAcentral also lists the same sequence under 2 other names. The record is from RNAcentral.
UGGGGAGUCGUCUAGUGGUAGGACGUCAGACUCUGGAUCUGAUUGCGAGGGUUCGAAUCCUUCCUCCCCAGCCA